GACGAACGCUGGCGGCGUGCUUAACACAUGCAAGUCGAACGGAAAGGCCCUGCUUGUGUGGGGUGCUCGAGUGGCGAACGGGUGAGUAACACGUGAGUAACCUGCCCUUGACUUUGGGAUAACUUCAGGAAACUGGGGCUAAUACCGGAUAGGAGCUCCUGCUGCAUGGUGGGGGUUGGAAAGUUUCGGCGGGUGGGGAUGGACGCGCGGCUUAUCAGCUUGUUGGUGGGGUAGUGGCUUACCAAGGCUUUGACGGGUAGCCGGCCUGAGAGGGUGGCCGGCCACAUUGGGACUGAGAUACGGCCCAGACUCCUACGGGAGGCAGCAGUGGGGAAUAUUGCACAAUGGGCGGAAGCCUGAUGCAGCAACGCCGCGUGCGGGAUGACGGCCUUCGGGUUGUAAACCGCUUUCGCCUGUGACGAAGCGUGAGUGACGGUAAUGGGUAAAGAAGCACCGGCUAACUACGU
This 467-nucleotide ribosomal RNA is filed under the name uncultured bacterium. RNAcentral's name for it is "partial 16S ribosomal RNA". It matches the Rfam family "Bacterial small subunit ribosomal RNA", at positions 28 to 506 of the family's 1533-position model. The record is from RNAcentral.